ACACUUCAUUCAUCCUUUUCAAAUUCAAAGUUUCAUUUCAUUUAAACGAGAAGCGAAGAAAAAUAAAAAACACUCUCAACACUUGUUAAAGACUACUACUACUGCUUGCUACUUACCAAAAUCAUCAAACACAUUACAAGAAAAAGAAGAAGAAAGCAAAGAAAUGGCUUCAUGGGUUCGUACAAUCAAAGCUCCAUUCAAGAAGUUGUUCAAUCAACAACAAAGCAACUCAAGAGAUAAGAAAUCUCAACAAGAACAUGAUAAUCGAAUAGUAAUGGAUUUGCAAGGAGAAGUGAUGGCGUGCGCAUACGAAGACGUUCAAGUUAUGUGGUCGAUGCUUGAUAAAUCCAAGCAAAGAGUUUGCACCGUUAAUUAGUUCUGACGAUAUAUCAACUAUGGCGAAGCUGAUCAUCUAUUCAUGGCCAUAUCAUUGAUAAAGAAAAUCAUAUUGGCAUGCGUAUAUGUCUGCAAACAAUCUGUAUAGUUAAUUUAUAGCUAGGAAUCCAAAAAAGAAGAAAAAAAAAGAGAGGAAGAGUACUUGAAGAUCAGAUGAUGGUGAUGGCAUAUAAGAUAAUAGCAACUUAAUUCAUGCUUUUAUUUUAUACCUUGUAGCUGUUUAAUUCAUAGCCGUCCUAUUAAUUUUGAUGUUUGGUAUUAUAUAGCAAAUCCCCAUGGUUUAUAUUGAAAUUUAUCAUGGUGUGAUUUAAUGGAUAAGAAGGAAAAAGAAACAGUGGAUUUUGUUUUUUCAUACAA
Molecule: long non-coding RNA, 753 nt
Organism: Papaver somniferum (opium poppy)
Lineage: Eukaryota; Viridiplantae; Streptophyta; Magnoliopsida; Ranunculales; Papaveraceae
Exons: 2
Source: RefSeq, a predicted model, not a curated record